This 77-nucleotide transfer RNA is filed under the name Gammaproteobacteria bacterium. Its description in RNAcentral is "tRNA-Arg". It matches the Rfam family "tRNA". From Rfam's summary of the family: Transfer RNA (tRNA) molecules are approximately 80 nucleotides in length. Their secondary structure includes four short double-helical elements and three loops (D, anti-codon, and T loops). The record is from RNAcentral. Lineage: Bacteria; Pseudomonadati; Pseudomonadota; Gammaproteobacteria.
GCGCCCGUAGCUCAGUUGGAUAGAGUACAGGCCUCCGAAGCCUGGGGUCGCUGGUUCGAAUCCAGUCGGGCGCACCA